Long non-coding RNA from Vitis riparia (riverbank grape), 1429 nucleotides. RefSeq lists it as uncharacterized. The record is from RefSeq and is a predicted model, not a curated record. The transcript is spliced from 5 exons. Lineage: Eukaryota; Viridiplantae; Streptophyta; Magnoliopsida; Vitales; Vitaceae.
CAUUCAACUGAAAGGGCAAAGCAAAAGAAAUGGCCGAUGGGCCCUCUAAAACAGAGGCUCGUCAAUGUGCGGCAGUCCGUCCCGUCCAGGCCCAUUGGCCGGAUCUCAUUCCAGUAAAAGUAAGACGACGGCGUUUCAGCUAAUUUAGCUCAGUUUGCUAGUCCCAUAAAACGCUGCUUUUUCUGAGUGUUCCCGCCUUGGUCAAUCAUAGACCCCAUCUUGAUUAAGUGUUUAACUGCUUGUGGAAAGAACAUGCAGAAAGAAUAUCCAAAAAUAACUGCUUGUGGAAAGAACAUGCAGAAAGAAUAUCCAAAAAAGUAUUCGAAUCCGAGAGGGGAGACAGAGAGAGAGAGAGAGAGAGCAACCUCUCGAGUCUCGUCAGAAGUUACCAAGCUAAGUCGUAUCAUGGUUACCACUUGCCAGAAGGUUGUUCGAUGAAUGCCUGAAAUCGGUUAGUAUGAGUUGAAAUUUGGGUUUAUGGGUGAUCCUUUUAUAUAUGUUAGGUUGUUUCAUUUCCUGAUCAAUGAUCCAUGCCUUUAGUUUCUAUUGAUCAUGAAAUCUUUGACGGGAAUGUGUGUGUAAAUAUAAUGGAUUCUUGAAGCCAGCUUGUUUGCCGCUUGAAAUUUAUUAUAUUUCUUUUUCUUCCUUAUUUUCACUUCUGAUUUUUCUCUCUCCGCGGUUCCUGAUAUCCGGAGGAGUCUUCAAAGAGGCCAAACGGGGAAACAGGGAAGAACAAGGAAUCAGCUCUCCUCCAUAUGGUUUGGGCGGUAAAAGUUUCGAGAGGAAUAGAGAAUUAUUGUGGACAGGUGGCAGUUUUCUAACUUACUUCAUGUGUUCGGAAGACAACGGUGAAAGCAUUAACCUCCAUCCAUCGCAAAAGCAACUCUUCACUUCUUCGAUACUUAAUAACAGUGUAGAUGCAUGCAUUACCUGCAGCCAAAAUGCUGAAACAGGGGUAUUGUGAGCCUGUAGUUUCUCCCAAACUUGGCGGACACUAUCUGUGCCACCCUGCAUUCCAACAACAGCACCGGAUAUAAUCCACUCAGGAAGCUCAGGAAGUCUCCCAAUUGUUUCUGUGAAGCGUUCAAUGAGCUCUGAAGGCAUCAUGGUGAGAGGCAGCACUCAUAUUGUCCUUUGCUUGUCACUGCCUGAAUGCAUGAAUCCUCCCACAAUCUUGGCCCCAUACAAGAGGACACGUGAGUGCUUGUACAUAUGAAUCUUCCCGCAAUUUUGGUGAUGUUCUUUCUUCUGAAAUCUCCCCUACAAUAAAUACGAAUGAUUGUACUGCGUACGUAUGAAUCUUCCGACAAUCUUGGUAAUGUGCAUCCUUUUGAAAUUUUCACAUAUUUGAUGUCUGCUACUUUUCACCUCAGCUAUUUUGUUAUUUGUACUUUACACUCUUAAUGUUUGCCUAUUUGUAUUUGUGUUU